CACGUAGGGCGCAAGCGUUGUCCGGAAUUAUUGGGCGUAAAGAGCUCGUAGGCGGUCUGUUGCGUCCGCUGUGAAAACUCGGGGCUUAACCCCGAGCCUGCAGUGGAUACGGGCAGACUAGAGGUAGGUAGGGGAGAAUGGAAUUCCCGGUGUAGCGGUGAAAUGCGCAGAUAUCGGGAGGAACACCGGUGGCGAAGGCGGUUCUGGGCCUUACCUGACGCUGAGGAGCGAAAGCGUGGGGAGCGAACAGG
This 251-nucleotide ribosomal RNA is filed under the name uncultured bacterium. Its description in RNAcentral is "partial 16S ribosomal RNA". It matches the Rfam family "Bacterial small subunit ribosomal RNA", at positions 524 to 776 of the family's 1533-position model. The record is from RNAcentral.